Molecule: ribosomal RNA, 468 nt
Filed under: uncultured bacterium
Lineage: Bacteria
Description: partial 16S ribosomal RNA
Rfam family: Bacterial small subunit ribosomal RNA
Source: RNAcentral
GACGAACGCUGGCGGCGUGCUUAACACAUGCAAGUCGAACGGAAAGGCCCUGCUUUUGUGGGGUGCUCGAUUGGCGAACGGGUGAGUAACACGUGAGUAACCUGCCCUUGACUUUGGGAUAACUUCAGGAAACUGGGGCUAAUACCGGAUAGGAGCUCCUGCUGCAUGGUGGGGGUUGGAAAGUUCCGGCGGUUGGGGAUGGACUCGCGGCUUAUCAGCUUGUUGGUGGGGUAGUGGCUUACCAAGGCUUUGACGGGUAGCCGGCCUGAGAGGGUGACCGGCCACAUUGGGACUGAGAUACGGCCCAGACUCCUACGGGAGGCAGCAGUGGGGAAUAUUGCACAAUGGGCGGAAGCCUGAUGCAGCAACGCCGCGUGCGGGAUGACGGCCUUCGGGUUGUAAACCGCUUUCGCCUGUGACGAAGCGUGAGUGACGGUAAUGGGUAAAGAAGCACCGGCUAACUACGUG